Dreissena polymorpha is the source of this 9147-nucleotide RNA transcript. It is a transcript of the gene named vesicle-associated membrane protein/synaptobrevin-binding protein-like, with no coding region annotated. The transcript has 8 exons. Lineage: Eukaryota; Metazoa; Mollusca; Bivalvia; Myida; Dreissenidae. The record is from RefSeq and is a predicted model, not a curated record.
AAUCGGGCGGUUCGCGCAUGCGCAAUAAUACGACUAAGUGUCAGAUGUUGAAAUAAAAAUCUUUUAAUUUGAAUAACACAUAUUUAUUAAAGUACACGUUGUUCAGUUUAUAAAGAUGUCUAAGCUGGAACAAAUAUUGAAGAUUGAGCCGAAUACCGAGUUGCUGUUCAAAGGUCCAUUCACUGAAGUGGUCACAGCAGACCUUCAUUUGAGGAACCCUUCUGACAAGAGGGUAUGUUUCAAAGUGAAGACCACUGCCCCAAAACGGUACUGUGUCAGACCAAACAGUGGCAUCAUCGAACCAAGGCAGUCUGUCACUGUCGCUGUAAUGCUGCAGCCGUUUGACUAUGACCCGACAGAGAAGAACAAGCACAAGUUCAUGGUGCAAACCAUGUUUGCCCCUGAUGGGAAGAUUGACAACCAGGACCAGCUGUGGAGAGAUGUGUCCCCAGAUAAGCUGAUGGACUCAAAGCUGAAAUGUGUGCUUGAUCCAACUGGUAACUCUGUGGCCUCAUCGCCUGCACCUAUUAAAGAGGAAAAGGUAAAUCCAGUAAAGAUGGAGCCAGUAAGAAAAGAACCUGUCAAACUUAUGGGGCAGGAAGAGCCCCCUAUUGUGUCAGCUAAAAAUACAAGUAGCACUGAGUCAAGUAGCCCGAGGGAAGAGGAUAAAAUUCAGCAAUAUAUUGAGGAGAUACGUCAGCUGAAAGCUGAGAAAAAGAGACUUGAAGAAAAUGAGGUUCGUUUACGGAAGGUAGCCAUAUCGGAUACAGUGUCCCAAACCCCAACGACUAUGCCUGGCAAUGUAGAAUCCACCAGCAGCGGUCUUCCACCUUACCUUUACCUGAUCAUUUGUCUAAUUAUUGGUGUCCUAAUUGGCAAGGUGAUUCUGUAGUUGCUUGAAUGUUCAAGCUGGUACGCCUGUAUGUGAACUUUACAAACUGAUGCGAUUGUUGUUUAAACAAAAAAGAGCUUCUGCAGUUUAAGAGUUUACUGUUCUAUCUAUUUAUGGAUUUUACAAAACUUGUUCUUUUAGGGUGAUGCCCAUAGUGCAAUUGUUGAUAGCUUAUUUCAUACACAGAAAUGUACAUAUACUAAUAAAAUGCACUCCAAGCUAAUCUAUAAGAAUAUAAUAUGUGGCUGCUUUCUUUAUUUAUUGGUAGUUGGUCAGAUGUAUACUUGUAAUACUGCACUAGAAAUCACCUCAAGCUUAUAAUUAUGAAUAUUUUGUAAACGAAAAACUUGCAGCUUUCUUUAUUAAUUGGUGUUCUUUAUAAAUUUGUUCAUAUUAAAGCUGAGCAUCAAAAUACAUAAUAAAUUGGGGCCAUUGAAAGCUGCGUACAUAAGUGUGCAAGCUUGCUUACUGUUUUAAAAGUUUCGUCUUUGUUAUUAGGUGUACAAAUUUAAAUAGAAUGUAAAUAUUUAUGUUCAAUAGGGGACAUAUGUCCGUCAAACAAGCCUGGGAUGAUAAUUUUCAUAAAACAAUUACAAAAUACAUUUAAAGAGUGAAAAACAUGGAAAGAGUUAUUACAAUACGUCCACUUAAUCAACAAAAUUCUAAGGGGUGUGGAAAGGUUAGCCCUGAGUUGUCUCACAUCGAUAAAGUUUGUAAAUUAACUGUCCAACAUGAAAACUGUACCUGAAAAAGUUUGUUUAGGUUGCAAAUUCAUUAUCAUGUCACAAAUUUCCACAUUUUUAUGUCCCCCACCACUAUAGUGGGGGACAUAUUGUUUUUGCCCUGUCUGUUGGUUUGUUGCUUUGUGUGUUUGUUUGUUUGCGUCAAACUUUAACAUUUGCCAUAACUUUUGCAAUAUUGAAGAUAGCAACUUGAUACAUGUAUUUGGCAUGCAUGUGUAUCUCAUGGAGCUGCACAUUUUGAGUGGUGAAAGGUAAAGGUCAUCCCUCAAGGUCAAAGGUCAAAUAUAUGGGGACAUAGUGUUUCACAAACACAUCUUGUUUUGACAGCAAUUACACAUUGUUAUUUCUUAACAAUUUAUUUUUAGCUCACUUGAGCACAACGUGCUCAUGGUGAGCUUUUGUGAUGGCUUUUUGUCUGUCGUGUGUCGUCCGUCGUCAACAUUUUGCCUUGGGAACACUCUAGAGGCCACAUUUAUUGUCUGAUCUUCAUGAAAUUUGGUCAGAACAUUUGUCCCAUUGGUACCUCGACUGAGUUCGAAACUGAGUCAUGCUGGGUCAAAAACUAGGUCACUAGGUCAAAAAUAGAAAAACCUUGUGAACACUGUAGAAGUCAAAUUUUAUAUCCAAUCUUCAUGUAACUUUGUCAAAGUGGUUGUCUAAAUGAUAUGUUGAUUGAGUUCAAAAAUGGUUCCGGUCCGUUGAAAAACAUGGUCGCCAGGGGGGCGGGGCAGUAUUCCUUAUAUGGCUAUAGAGAAACCUUGUGAACACUCUAAAAGUCAAAAUGUUUGCCCAAUCAUCAUGAAACUUGGUCAAAAGAUUGGUUUUAUUGAUAUCUCGGCCAAGUUCGAAAAUGGUCCAGAUCGGUGAAAAAACAUGGCCGCUAGGGGGCGGGGCAGUAUUCCUUAUAUGGCUAUAGAGAAACCUUGUGAAGACUCUAGAAGUCACAAUAUUUGCCCAAUCAUCAUGAAACUUGGUCAAAACAUUGGUUUUGUUGAUAUCUCGGAAGAGUUUGAAAAUGGUCCAGAUCGGUGAAAAAGCGUGGCUGCCAGGAGGCGGGGCAGUUUCCUUAUAUGGCUUUAGUAAAACCUUGUUAACACUCUAGAGGCCACAUUUAUUGUCCAAUCUUCAUGAAAUUUGGUCAGAAGAUUUGUCUCAAUGAUAUCUUGGAUGAGGUCGAAAAUGGUUACGUUUGCUUGAAAAACAUGGCUGCCAAGGGGCAGGGCAUUUUUCCUUAUAUGGCUAUAUAUGGCUAUAGUAAAAUCUUGUUAACACUCUAGAGGCCACAUUUAUUGUCCGAUCUUUAUGAAACUUGGUCAGAAGAUUCAUCCCAAUAAUAUUUGGGACGAGUUAAAAAAUGAUGGCGGUUGGUUGAAAAAACAUGGCCGCCAGGGGGCGGGGCAUUUUUCCUUAUAUGGCUAUAGUAAAACCUUGUUAACACUCUAGAGGCCACAUUUAUUGUCCAAUCUUGAUGAAAUUUGGUUACAAGAUUUGUCUUAAUGAUAUCUUGAAUGAGUUCGAAAAUGGUUUUGGUUGCUUAAAAAACAUGGACGCCAAGGGGCGGGGCAUUUUUCCUAAUACAGUAGACUCUCUGUAAACCGGACGGUCUGGGGACCGGCGUGAUCGUCUGGUUUUCAGAGAGUUCCGGUUUACUAAGAGUAUGCAUAUUGCCGAAAUAUACAUUGUAUGCAUUGUGUACAAAAUCAUAUAAGAAUAAAACAAACCAUAUACAUUUUCAUGUACCAUGUGAUAACUGUACAACUGUAAGGUUAAUGUUUUAAGCAUUCUUCAAAAAAUGUGUUUUUAUUCGAUUAAUAGCAAAAAACAUUCCAUACCGACUUGUUUUGAUUAAUCCCAAUGUGAGUGUGGUGCUUUAUACAUGUACAUACGUGACAUUUGUCAUAUAGGCGAGGAGUCGUGUUCGAGUUCGCUAUAAAUAGCUCUGAAUUAAUUUAACCUCAAAGACAAUUUUGACGAAUAACGGUUUGAGAAGACUUGUAGAUUUGAGACUAUUUAUGCUGAAGAUGCGUUUGAAAUUAAGAAAAGGCAAUGAAUGAAUUUGCAGACAGAUAGAUGGAUAUUUAACGGUCAUAUUUCUCACAGUUUUAUCUAACAAACAAACAAACAUCCAUUUUAGCGUUAAAAACAUGGCUAUAAGAUCUUUUAAACUACCCGAGAAGAUCACAAGAAAGUGAUUGUCACAACGGAAUGCAUUAAUUUUGUAAUUAAAUUGUUUAUCAUAAGCUUUAUAAAACGAUCGAGGCAAUCACUUUUUGGUGUUACCGCACGUCUAUAAUAGACAUUCACAGUUUGUUUUACAUUAUUUAAUCGGACUUCUUUAGCGCAGUAACGACUUGACACCUUUAUGGUAUGUUUAAUCCGAUUAUCGAUGAUUGCGCGAGCAAUAUGUGUGACACCGCACGCGCUGUGCUGACUAGGUAUUGUAAUUUUCACGCCUCGGGCAUCUUGAGAAUUUGGACCGUCCGGUGUACUCAAUGUAUUUUACGUUGAAAAUGACCUAAUUCACGGAGAUAUCCGUUCAGUUUCCGGUUUUGAGAGAGUUCGGUUUAUACAACAUUUUUUAUCAAAGAAAUAGUAGAAAAUACGGGACUGGCCCGACCAUUCGGAAUUGGGAGAGUUACGGUAUUCAGAGAGUCCUGUAUUGGCAGAGUCUACUGUAUAGCUAUAUAUCAUGCUUUUGUAAAACCUUGUUAACACUCUAGAGGCAACAUUUAUUGUCCGAUCAUCAUGAAACUUGGUCAGAUAAUUUGUCUCAAUGAUAUCUUGGAUGAGUUCGAAAAUGGUUGCGGUUGGUGGAAAAACAUGACCACCAAGAGGGUGUGGCAUUUUUCCUUAUAUAGCUAUAGUUAAACCUUGUUAACACUCUAAAAGCCGUAUUUAUUGUACGAUCAUCAUGAAACUUGGUAAAAACAUUUGUCCCACUGAUAUUUUGGACAAGUUCGAAAAUGGUUCCAGUUGCUUGAAAAACAUGGCCACUAGUGGGCAGGGCAUUUUUAGCUCACCUGAGCACAACGUGCUCAUGGUGAGCUUUUGUAAUCGUCUUUUGUCCGUCGUGCGUUGUCCGUUGUGCGACGUCAACAUUUGCCUUGUUCACUCUCUAUGCCACAUUUUUUGUCCAAUCUUCAUGAAAUUUGGUCAGAAGAUUGGUUUUAAUUAUAUAUUGGAUGAGUUCGAAAAUGGUUACGUUUGCUUGAAAAACAUGGCUGCAAAGGGGCAGGGCAUUUGUCCUUAUAUGGCUAUUGUAAAAUCUUGUUAACACUCUAGAGGCCACAUUUAUUGUCUGAUCUUCAUGAAACUUGGUCAGAAGAUUCAUCCCAAUAAUAUCUGGGGCGAGUUUAAAAAUGAUGCCGGUUGGUUGAAAAACAUGGCUGCCAGGGGGCGGGGCAUUUUUCCUUAUAUAGCUAUAGUAAAACCUUGUUAACACUCUAGAGGCCACAUUUAUUUUCCGAUCUUCAUGAAACUUGCUCAGAAGAUUUGUCCCACUGAUAUCUUUGAUGAGUUCAAAAAUGGUAACCUUUGCUUGAAAAACAUGGCUGCCAAGGGGCGGGGCAUUUUUACUUAAAUGGCUACAUGUAUAAUAUGGCUAUAGUAAAAUCUUGUUUACACUCUAUAGGUCACAUUUAUUUUCCGAUCAUCAUGAAAUUUGGUCAGAAGAUUGGUUUCAAUGAUAUCUUGGAUGAGUUCGAAAAUGGUUACGUUUGCUUGAAAAACAUGGCUGCCAAGGGGCGGGGCAUUUUUCCUAAUAUGGCUAUAGUAAAAUCUUGUUCACACUCUAGAGGCCACAUUUAUUGUCCAAUCUUCAUGAAAUUUGGUCAGAAGAUUCAUCCCGAUAAUAUCUUGGAUGAGUUCAAAAAUGAUGCUGGUUGGUUGAAAAACAUGGCUGCCAGGGGGCGGGGCAUUUUUCCUUAUAUGGCUAUAGUAAAACCUUGUUAACACUCUAGAAGCCACAUUUAUUUUCCGAUCUUCGUGAAACUUGGUCAGAAGAUUUGUCCCAAUAAUAUCUUGUUAUCUCAGGUGAGCAAUUUUGGGCCUUUCAGGCCCUCUUGUUCCUUAUAUGGACUUAUGAAUCGUCAUGAAACUUUGUCAGUAUAUUUGUUUAAAUGAUAUCUUGGAUGUGUAUGAAAAUGGUUCUGGUCUGUUGAAAAAAGUGGCUGCCAGAGUGUUCACUAGUCAUGAAAGUUGGUAAGAACAUUUUGUUCUAAUGACAUCUUGGGCUGCACAGAACAGGUCAGUUUCUUUGAAUCUCAGGUGAGCGACUUUGGGCCUUUCAGGGCCUCUUGUUUCUUUAGUUAAUUAUAAAGGAAUGACUGAUACAAAACUACUUUUAUUUCAACAUUUUACUUUUCCUUGUUAAAACAUAAGAUUUGUCUAUGGAACAAGUUUGUAGUUUGGAUAUUUCCAUUUCCUGUAACUGUUGUCUUUUCUUUUAGACAUAUCUUUUAUUGGUUUAAUGUGUUUAUGAACAAAAGUAAUUAUUUAUUUUACUCCAUUAAAUGGUGAAAACAAAUCAUGUGUUUUACCAAGAUGAGUCAUCUUUGUGUACAACACAUUUUGAUAUAUCCGAUUAUUCUAGCUGGAUUCGUAGGUGUUGAUUGAUGUUCAUAAACUUGUUCAUUGCGUUUUGUGUACACCUAUGUAACAAUAUGUGAAGGGGAAGAUGUUGUCAUAGUUGUUAUGCAUAAUUUGCUUUUAAUAUUUAUACUAUUCAUGUAUGUAUAUAACUGUGUAUAGGAUACGCACACAUGUUUGCAGGUAUGUGGUAUACUAGUAUAUGGCACACAUGUGCAUUCAUUGCAUACACCCCAUACAGAUUUUUGUACUGUUUGAUUGAUGAUGUUCAUGUUGUAUAUUAAUCAUAAAAUUCCAUCUGUCGUAUGUUUUACUGUGAGAUUAAUCUUAUGUAUUCAGGAUGUUAACAAAUAACUGUCUGGUAAAAGACAUGCUCGUGAACUUAAAAAAUAUUGUUUUGACUGUCGGGUUAACUCUUUGUUGUUGUCAAAAACUACGAGUCAUACUUAGCCGACAUGUCACCAUCUUGAAAUAUUACAAACUGAAAAAUGGAUUAUAAUUACUUAUCUAUUCAAGUUUCUUUCCUCAUUUACAAUUUACAUGUUAUUGUCAUUGUGGUUCCCCUAAAAUUUAACUGUGUUUACAUGACGUACAGAUAUGGGCUUUGACAUUUAUUUUCAUAUAAAAACAGGUGAUAUAUGCCACCAUAAGAAGGCAUCAUAUAGCAGUUGCUCUGUCCGACUGUAUCUCUUUAUGAAUGUCAACCAUGGCAAUAUAAAACUGCAUGUAGUGUGUAAUAUCUCCCUUAAUCAAAGGACAUGGUUGCAUGUAGAGGUCAGACUUGGCUGUUAUACAGCUGGUAAAUUCCUGUCUCAGCCAUUACUUUGCUGUAUACUGAAGGAAUUUUAAACAAUUCGGCACAAAUGCAGUCCAUCAUAAGACAAUCUGAUCCAUGUAACGCAUGUAUCCACUUCCUUAAAUGUCAAGGUCUAAUGUCGUAAAACAGCUUGUUUCGACUGUAAUUUUGGCAUUUGUCAAGCUAUUUUGAAAUAACUCAAUACUAAUAACCAUCAUAAUGAGGUUUUUUGUGUGUCUAAAAAGUUAUUAUACAUGUCUACCCUCCUCAGAGGUCAAGAUAACAUUUAGAGGUCAAAGGUUAAAUUAAGCCGUAAAAAUGCUUUUCCUGGCUGUAACUCUGUCUGUCAAAAUAACUUGCCACAAAUGACUGUCAAUAGGAGACUUAUCCUCGCAUGUAUCAUCUGACUCUUGGCCUCAAUGAUCAAGGUCACACUCCAGGGAUUAAAAUUUAAAAAAUCCAUAAAUAACUUGUUAAUGACAUCAAUAAGGUUUUGGGACAAAGGUGGGAUGUGUGGGUAUUUGUGCCUAAUGGACACUGUGUUGUUUAUUUAUCUUUUCACAUAAGAUUUUAGCAGUGCAUGUAAUUGCAUUUAUAAACGGACUAAAAAUGAAAGAAAUGUUGUAUAGGUGUUAAUAAUGGAUGGUAUGCUUGAUUAAUGUAUUAUUUGUGUUUUCACUUGAUGAGAGUUUUGUUGACUUAUUGAGUGCUUAGUAUGGGUCACAAUAGGUGUUUCCUAACACUAGGUAACUUCCUAUGUGUAAUAACAAGUGAUGUCCCCUGUUCUUUUUCGGUGACUUGUUGUUAAUUUUGAAGCAUACUGACAUACCAAAUAUUUAUUGAUAAAUACUAGAGCAAGCAUCCACAUGUAUGAUUUUGAGGGGGUUAUCUCGUAACAAAGAAUUUGUAAAAGAAAUAUUAUUUUAGUGUUUUAUUUAACCCCAACAUUAUGACUUUGAAAUAUUCAUGAUGCUGAGCUACAGUAUAUCAAUAAUCUGUUUAAAAAAACAUGUGACACAGACUAAUAAAUGCAUGGUACUAGGCUUGCAAAGUCACUUACUCUAAUCUUUUCUCAUCUCUGUUAACUCACUCGUACAACUGUAUAAGGUUGGAAAUUGAUGUUGUUAGUUCAUUCAUUAAGUAUCAAAUAGCAAAUAAAUUAUUUUUAAUAAUUUUAUCACAAUUGUUGUUGUUGAAAGACACAUUCAACCUGUUUCUUGCAAUUAAUAGCAACAUUAUUUAAAUGAACAAUUCGGAAAAAGAGUCCCUGCAAGUUGAUUAUGAACUAUGGGUAAUGACUGAAUAUUCAAGGGAAAUCAGCUUGUAUUUGGAAAGGCGUGUUAUAUUUAAUUUUAAUUGUAAACCCAUGAUAUUCAAGAACAAGUAUUAAUGUAUAAAAAAACAUCCACUUCUCUCCCUGAAUUAUGCAUUUUUAACCAAGCAUUUUAUUAACUUGUCUGAUAGUUCUUUUCAACUUUUGUUUGUGUGCAGCUUAUUAUGUUAUGUUCUUGUGUUAUUUUUUUAAAGAAAGAAUAGUUUAGUAUAAUUGAAUAAUAUUUGUGUUCACUUGUUGUUUCUCUAAAAUAUGCUGAUACUAUUGGUUAUGCUUGUUUUUGUCUUGAGAGUAUGCAGGCAUUUAUGUUAAGGUGUACGUGGUUGUAUUAGAUUUGCAGAAACCUUUGUUAAAAUAGUUCAAACAUUAUGCAGUGAUUAACUGGAAAAUAUUUUUAUUUUAUCACUGUUUUUACUUUAUUAGUAAUAACACAGUACCAAAUAUCAUGUGUUUAUAGAUGAAUGAAAGGCAUAUUCCUUCCAUCAGAUUCAUGAAUGUUGAAAGUCAAUGCUUAAUCAAGUAAUCAUGGUCAUAACACAGAUUCCCUAAAUGUUUAGUUCUAGCUUUACAACUUUCUUUUCCAAAGCAGAUUUUUGUUUUCACAGUUGUGAUAUGAAUAGUGUUUUAUACACAUUGGAUUUUCUUUAAAAUUUAAGCAUCAUUUUGUUCAUAUUGAAAUUCAGCUGUUUUCGUUUAAAUAUCUUUGUUUUGUAGCUUUCACAUAAUUGUUGUUUUUAUUGUGAAAUGAAACAUUUUCCCAAACUAGAUUUCAAUAAACUAUUACUGUUUAUUCAUA